This 253-nucleotide ribosomal RNA is filed under the name uncultured bacterium. Its description in RNAcentral is "partial 16S ribosomal RNA". It matches the Rfam family "Bacterial small subunit ribosomal RNA", at positions 524 to 776 of the family's 1533-position model. The record is from RNAcentral.
UACAGAGGGGGCAAGCGUUAUUCGGAAUUAUUGGGCGUAAAGGGCGCGUAGGCGGCUUGGCAAGUGGAUGGUGAAAUCCCUCGGCUUAACCGAGGAACUGCCAUCCAGACUGCUUUGCUUGAGGCCGGGAGAGGUGAGUGGAAUUCCCAGUGUAGCGGUGAAAUGCGUAGAUAUCUGGAGGAACACCGGUGGCGAAGGCGGCAUCCUGGACCAAUUCUGACGCUGAGGAGCGAAAGCCAGGGGAGCAAACGGG